AUUGAACGCUGGCGGCAGGCCUAACACAUGCAAGUCGAGCGGAUGAAGGGAGCUUGCUCCUGGAUUCAGCGGCGGACGGGUGAGUAAUGCCUAGGAAUCUGCCUGGUAGUGGGGGAUAACGUCCGGAAACGGGCGCUAAUACCGCAUACGUCCUGAGGGAGAAAGUGGGGGAUCUUCGGACCUCACGCUAUCAGAUGAGCCUAGGUCGGAUUAGCUAGUUGGUGGGGUAAAGGCCUACCAAGGCGACGAUCCGUAACUGGUCUGAGAGGAUGAUCAGUCACACUGGAACUGAGACACGGUCCAGACUCCUACGGGAGGCAGCAGUGGGGAAUAUUGGACAAUGGGCGAAAGCCUGAUCCAGCCAUGCCGCGUGUGUGAAGAAGGUCUUCGGAUUGUAAAGCACUUUAAGUUGGGAGGAAGGGCAGUAAGUUAAUACCUUGCUGUUUUGACGUUACCAACAGAAUAAGAACCGGCUAACUUCGUGC
RNAcentral lists this ribosomal RNA (485 nucleotides) under uncultured bacterium. Its description in RNAcentral is "partial 16S ribosomal RNA". It matches the Rfam family "Bacterial small subunit ribosomal RNA", at positions 30 to 508 of the family's 1533-position model. The record is from RNAcentral.